RNAcentral lists this ribosomal RNA (398 nucleotides) under uncultured bacterium. RNAcentral describes it as "bacterial SSU rRNA". It matches the Rfam family "Bacterial small subunit ribosomal RNA", at positions 1100 to 1504 of the family's 1533-position model. The record is from RNAcentral.
AACCCCUGCCCUUAGUUGCCAGCGGUUAGGCCGGGCACUCUAAGGGGACUGCCGGCGACGAGCCGGAGGAAGGAGGGGAUGACGUCAGAUACUCGUGCCCCUUAUGUCCUGGGCGACACACGUGCUACAAUGGGGUGGACAGCGGGAAGCGAGGCAGCGAUGCUGAGCAAAACCCUGAAACCACCCCCCAGUUCAGAUUGUGGGCCGAAACCCGCCCACAUGAAGCCGGAAUCGCUAGUAAUCGCGGAUCAGCCACGCCGCGGUGAAUACGUUCCCGGGCCUUGUACACACCGCCCGUCAAGCCACCCGAGUCGCGGGCACCCGAAGACGGUGACCCUUAGGGGCGCCGUUGAGGGUGAACGUGGUGAGGGGGGCUAAGUCGUAACAAGGUGACCGUA